AAAGUUUGGGUGUUGUUGAAAUCUGUCCAUAAUUAAGAAGUGGAGCUAUAUAUAGGUACGUACAUGUGUAUAUAUGUUGAUUUUGAGUUUUAUUUGAGUUGAUCGAUUUUGAGUGUGAUUGAAUUGAUAGAUUUUGAGUACGUUUGAUGUAUAUAUAUAUAUGUGUGUUGAUCGAUUUGGUUGAUGAUUUGUUAAUAUAUAUGAAGUUGUUGUUAAUUAUAAGUAGCAGUUGAAUGGUUGGUUGCAGAUGAACCAUAUUCAAUUUGAUGGUCACCCAAAUUGGUCGCACGAACUAAGACUUCUAGCGAUGAAGCCGAUAAUGUCAAGAGUUUAUCCGAUGUGCAAGGUGAAUGGCGUGCAAUUUAUAUGCGAACAAAGAGACAGCAGAAGGAGAACACAGAAUUCUGGGGUCAUGGCACAUGGUGGGCGGAAUGGAGUUGACUAUUACGGUGUUCUCCAUUCAGUGGUGGAACUCGUUUAUGGGCAAGGCAUGACAGUGCACCUCUUCAAGUGCAGAUGGUUUGAUACUAGGCCGCAGAGCAUGAAGACCGAUCAGUACGGAAUAUUAUAGGCGAAGGUGAGGGAGGCUAGUGACGAGGUGAUGAGUGCUAUAGUGAGGGAGACAUGGCCGAACACGCAGGAGGAAGAGAUGUCCGAAGCCAUGUCCCGGAUCGACACUUCGGAUCCGACGAUUGGGGCGAGGAUCAUGGGCACAGCCUUCCCACCGAGAGCAAACAACUUCUACUACCGGGGUCUAGGAAAGAAAGGCGAGGGGGUCCUGAAGACCACUCCAGGAUUUCAAAGAAAGGCAGCAUCGACCAGCAGCAGGACCACGUCCACGAUCACCAGGACGACUCAGCUAGAGUCGGAAGUUCAGAGACUACGAGAACAGCAAGCUGCUCAGGAAGCCUAUAAUGCCUCGCAGGCAGCCUAUAAUGCCUCGCAGGCAGCCUAUAAUGCUGCGCAGGCAGCCUAUGUUGCCGAGAUACAUGCCAUCCAGCAGGCCCAGCAGCAGCAGAUGUUCCAGUACAUGCAGGACUUUACU
Molecule: long non-coding RNA, 1045 nt
Filed under: Fragaria vesca (wild strawberry)
Lineage: Eukaryota; Viridiplantae; Streptophyta; Magnoliopsida; Rosales; Rosaceae
Description: long non-coding RNA (FVES_LNC005258)
Source: RNAcentral